Molecule: ribosomal RNA, 344 nt
Filed under: Steatocranus tinanti
Lineage: Eukaryota; Metazoa; Chordata; Actinopteri; Cichliformes; Cichlidae
Description: partial 12S ribosomal RNA
Rfam family: Bacterial small subunit ribosomal RNA
Source: RNAcentral
CUUGAUAGCCCCUUACAUUUACUAUCCGCCCGGGUACUACGAGCAUCAGCUUAAAACCCAAAGGACCUGGCGGUGCUUUAGAUCCCCCUAGAGGAGCCUGUUCUAGAACCGAUAAUCCCCGUUAAACCUCACCCUCUCUUGCCCUUUCCGCCUAUAUACCGCCGUCGUCAGCUUACCCACUGAAGGAACCAUAGUAGGCAAAAUUAGUACAACUCAAAACGCCAGGUCGAGGUGCAGCAUAUGAGAGGGGAAGAAAUGGGCUACAUUCCCUAUUUUAGGGAAUACGAACCAUGCAAUGAAAUGUGCAUAGAAGGUGGAUUUAGCAGUAAGCAGAAAACAGAGCG